Molecule: non-coding RNA, 642 nt
Organism: Protobothrops mucrosquamatus (brown spotted pit viper)
Lineage: Eukaryota; Metazoa; Chordata; Lepidosauria; Squamata; Viperidae
Source: the annotation of a RefSeq genome assembly
CAUCUUAAAGGUUGAGUGCUUGCCUGUUUUCUCAUCAAUAAGAAUCGUGCAAUGUUUGAGCAAGCAAAAAUGGCAUUCUGGCUAAACCUCAUGUCUUUGUUAGUGGUCCUCAAAGGUGUCCAAUCUGAGGUUCAGUUGGUGGAGUCUGGAGGGGAUGUGAGAAGACCUGGAGAGUCCCUCCGUCUCUCCUGCCAAGCUUCUGGAUUCAACUUUGGUGGCUACAACAUGGGCUGGGUGAGACAGGCUGCUGGGAAAGGACUUGAAUGGGUAUCAUACAUAAGCUACAAUUCUGGUACUAUAUACUACUCUGACAAAGUGAAGGGCCGCUUCAUCAUCUCCAGGGACAAUGCCAAAAGCCAGCUGUAUCUUCAAAUGAACAGCCUCAAACCAGAGGAUACGGCUGUCUAUUACUGUACGAGAGACACAGUGAGAGGAAGUGAAUCUGAAGCCAAGCAGAAACCUUCCAUGUCUCAGAGACAUUUUCCAAGUUCACCCAAUAACCAGAGCUUGAACUGGUACAUAACUAUUGUGAGGAAUCAUGCAAAAGCACCAUCAACAUUGACUUUCUUGAAAGGAUUUCACAAAUAUAGUGAUAAAGACAGAGAGCCAGAAAUGAGAAGCCAAUGCACAAACAUUUGCUAA